ACGGGUGAGUAACGCGUGGGUAACCUGCCUCAUACAGGGGGAGUAACAGUUAGAAAUGACUGCUAAUACCGCAUAAGCGCACAGUGCUGCAUGGCACAGUGUGAAAAACUCCGGUGGUAUGAGAUGGACCCGCGUCUGAUUAGCUAGUUGGUGGGGUAACGGCCUACCAAGGCGACGACCAGUAGCCGGCCUGAGAGGGUGAACGGCCACAUUGGGACUGAGACACGGCCCAAACUCCUACGGGAGGCAGCAAUG
This 255-nucleotide ribosomal RNA is filed under the name uncultured bacterium. Its description in RNAcentral is "partial 16S ribosomal RNA". It matches the Rfam family "Bacterial small subunit ribosomal RNA", at positions 102 to 356 of the family's 1533-position model. The record is from RNAcentral.